RNAcentral lists this unclassified non-coding RNA (222 nucleotides) under Hevea brasiliensis (rubber tree). Lineage: Eukaryota; Viridiplantae; Streptophyta; Magnoliopsida; Malpighiales; Euphorbiaceae. The record is from RNAcentral.
UUUGCUUCCAUCAAAAUUCCUUAUCUCCAGUCCGGCGACCGGCGUUCCAUUUUCCGGCCAAAUAGUAGUAAGAAAAUACUCAAGUUGCCCCGAUGCAACGUUGAAAACUCAACAAGUAACUCAUCAAACAAUACUAGUACUAGUAGCCAAGAUUCUGAGUCUGAAAAUUUGCUGCUCAAAAUGGCUUGGUAUGGUUCUGAAUUCCUCGGGAUUGCUGCAUCG